UCUCCUGGAAACGGGUGGUAAUGCCGGAUGCUCCGACUCCUCGCAUGGGGUGUCGGGAAAGAUUUCAUCGGUAUGGGAUGGGGUCGCGUCCUAUCAGGUAGUCGGCGGGGUAACGGCCCACCGAGCCUACGACGGGUAGCCGGCCUGAGAGGGCGACCGGCCACAUUGGGACUGAGAUACGGCCCAGACUCCUACGGGAGGCAGCAGUGGGGAAUAUUGCACAAUGGGCGCAAGCCUGAUGCAGCGACGCCGCGUGCGGGAUGACGGCCUUCGGGUUGUAAACCGCUUUUGAUCGGGAGCAAGCCUUCGGGUGAGUGUACCUUUCGAAUAAGCACCGGCUAACUACGUGCCAGCAGCCGCGGUAAUACGUAGGGUGCAAGCGUUAUCCGGAAUUAUUGGGCGUAAAGGGCUCGUAGGCGGUUCGUCGCGUCCGGUGUGAAAGUCCAUCGCUUAACGGUGGAUCUGCGCCGGGUACGGGCGGGCUGGAGUGCGGUAGGGGAGACUGGAAUUCCCGGUGUAACGGUGGAAUGUGUAGAUAUCGGGAAGAACACCAGGAG
Molecule: ribosomal RNA, 557 nt
Filed under: Bifidobacterium pseudocatenulatum
Lineage: Bacteria; Bacillati; Actinomycetota; Actinomycetes; Bifidobacteriales; Bifidobacteriaceae
Description: bacterial SSU rRNA
Rfam family: Bacterial small subunit ribosomal RNA
Source: RNAcentral